RNAcentral lists this ribosomal RNA (438 nucleotides) under uncultured fungus. RNAcentral's name for it is "eukaryotic LSU rRNA". The stretch from base 121 to 274 matches the Rfam family "5.8S ribosomal RNA". Lineage: Eukaryota; Fungi. The record is from RNAcentral.
AGCUUUGAAGAAUGUCUUUGUUAACUCAAGGAUUAGUAUUCUAGUUCUAUGUAUUUACAAACUCUAUGAAUGUCUAGAAUGUCUUUUAUUGGGACUUCAUUGACCCUUUAAACUUUAUACAACUUUCAGCAACGGAUCUCUUGGCUCUCGCAUCGAUGAAGAACGCAGCGAAAUGCGAUAAGUAAUGUGAAUUGCAGAAUUCAGUGAAUCAUCGAAUCUUUGAACGCACCUUGCGCCCUUUGGUAUUCCGAAGGGCAUGCCUGUUUGAGUGUCAUUAAAUUCUCAACUUCAAAAGCUUUGUCUUUUUGAAGCUUGGAUGUGAAGGUUUGCUGGCGUUUCAAAUGUUCAGCUCCUUUCAAAUGUAUUAGUGGACCCAUUUGUGUUCAGCCUUAGUGUGAUAAUUAUCUACGCUAUGGUCUUUGAAUGCAUGCUCAUUAG